CCGAACCGGUGACCUGGCCGCUCAGCAGUGGUACAGGAGCUGUGGCAACGGGACGUGACAUCUCCGUUCCCCCUUCAGGGAACAAGGGUUAGCAUACGUAACUGAGACAUUCCCUUUCAUUCACUUUCGAUGUUACUUCGGGUGUCCGACAAAUUGGGAUCUCUACCAAAGGGCCACAUCGACUGCCCCUUCCAGAGUGAUGUGAAAGCCACCUGCGAAGGGAUGGAGGAGCUCAACAGGUUACUCAGUGCUUCUACCCGUUUGAGGAAAGAACAAGUGGAGCAGGAGGAAAGGGAUUCCCCAGAGAUGACAUACGAUCUGCCUAGAGAACGAUUAUGAGCCUGUACUUCUGCUUGGAUAUGCUUACAAAGACGUGAAAUGAAGAUGCAUCCAGGUUCUACAUCAGAAUGCCGGCUCCUGCGUCAGCAGCAUCACAUGCAUGCAUCGUGAGAGAAAA
Molecule: long non-coding RNA, 457 nt
Organism: Carassius auratus (goldfish)
Lineage: Eukaryota; Metazoa; Chordata; Actinopteri; Cypriniformes; Cyprinidae
Exons: 3
Source: RefSeq, a predicted model, not a curated record